AUUGGUGCUAACAAGUACCUUGGUGAUUCUUGUGUUGAGCCAAGGAUGAGGACUCACAUAUCCUAAAACAUUCCUUGACUCCAUGAGUUCAGCUGCCAAUCCAGAAACAAGCAAGACUGAAAGGCAAGGUUCUCGGACAGAAUCAAACAGCAAGUGAUGAAGAGCCCUCUCUUAAAGGCCCCGGCCAGCAGCACUCAGAACACCACUCCUCCUUUCAGAAAGAAAGGACAACACCAAGAAAGAAAUGUCUCGUCGGCUCACGUCCACGGUGGAGACUGUUCCCUGCCUGAACAUACUGGAGAUUUUAACAACUGUUGAGCAGCAUUCAUGAACUCUCCUUCUCACGAGUGCAGGUCCAUUCAACAUGGAACAACUCAUGCUAAGUUGUAGAACCACCUAGAUCUCUUCGGAGAUCAUUUCCAUUAAUUUUGCCAGACAACGUCCCCAUAAUCCAGCUGACUUUAAGAAAGAAUGAGUCAUGGCUCCUGCAGUCUUUGUCUUGGAAAGAACUAGACUGUGAGUCAGGAAGCUUGCUGGGCUCCCCGGAAGAACUAGAAAGUAACCCCUGAAGACCUGUCUGUGUCUCCUGUCACAGACGCCAUAUAUAAAGGUGCCAUGGAGGACAGUGGGGACCAGUCAGGGGGUCAAACCAGCACACAUCCUCCCCUCCAAAUCUCUUCCUUGACUACACUUUCCCAAUAAUUAUUCUGUUUAAUCACGGCUA
Molecule: long non-coding RNA, 724 nt
Organism: Peromyscus leucopus (white-footed mouse)
Lineage: Eukaryota; Metazoa; Chordata; Mammalia; Rodentia; Cricetidae
Exons: 2
Source: RefSeq, a predicted model, not a curated record